RNAcentral lists this long non-coding RNA (1048 nucleotides) under Chrysemys picta bellii (western painted turtle). Its description in RNAcentral is "lncRNA (ENSCPBG00000008278.1)". The record is from RNAcentral. Lineage: Eukaryota; Metazoa; Chordata; Testudines; Emydidae.
CAGUACAUGCCUACACAGCCUGGCCUUACUGCGUCAUUUUUCUUUGUUUUAGAUUAGGUGAUUGAACUACAUUGAAUUCAAUAGGGCUACAAUGGCAAAGAAUGAGAAAUCCUGGUUACCUGAGUGUCUACCUAAGAUUACCCUAAGUGGCAGGAAACUGUAAGAUGAGCGUCGCAAAAGACAGAAGCUUAAGGUUUCCAACAACUCAGACACAGAUUGCUCUUGUUAGCUCAAACUGGAGUUACCCGCUUCAGCAAAGUCAGCAUUGAGGUCUGGACGACAUGGGUACCAGUGUGCCGACAGGCCUCCUCUUGCCCGAGGGCACCACAUGGGGCAAGAUCCUCACCACCACCAUCUCCCAAGGAUGUGGCCCCUUUAAGGCAUAUGCUUUCCCUGGAAACUAAGAUAAUGCAGCCAGCGUGGAGAAGCUCUAUGUGAAUGGAUGGAGGCUGGGGGGAACAUAGGAUAGAAACAGGGUUUAGAGGCGGGUUUAGAGGCUGAGACUCCAGGAACAAGUGACACCACUGAGGAGAUUCAGACACCCCUUAAUUAACCCAUCAAACCGCCUUUGACAUUUUAAGAUCAUGGCACAGAUGCCUGGGAAGGAGAAGGGAGAGAGAAGGAAAGAGGGAGAAGGGUAUAGCAAGAAUGAGGAAAUAUACAAUUAUGUUUAAAUCUACAAAAUUGUAUUUUGUAUUCCCCCCCCCCCCGUUCCUUUCUUCCUCUGGGUUGUUUUGUAUUUGUUAUCUUUUUAGAUGGUAAGUUCUUAGGGGCAAGGACUGGGUCCUUCGUUUGAGAUCAAGCAUAGAAAAUUCUAGCUGAAAAGAGAAUUUUCCAGAAAGUGACGAGGGAAUGAAAGCAAGGAGUGAUAACAAACCAGUUUCCAGCCUUAACUGUAGCAUGCACUGAGUAAAUUACCAAGUACCAGCUAAAGGCACCAGUUCAAGUUGCUACACUGAGAGAACAUAAAGGAUCUAUUUAGGAGGUCACCAGAGUAUAGACAAAAAUGCAAGAUUAUUACGAUAUAGAUAAAAAUUAAGGAGGGAAU